Molecule: ribosomal RNA, 371 nt
Filed under: uncultured bacterium
Lineage: Bacteria
Description: bacterial SSU rRNA
Rfam family: Bacterial small subunit ribosomal RNA
Source: RNAcentral
GAACCGUACAAACGUUAUUCGGAAUCACUGGGCUUAAAGGGUGCGUAGGCGGCCAUGUAAGUGAGGUGUGAAAUCCCUCGGCUCAACCGAGGAACUGCGCUUCAUACUGCAUGGCUUGAGGGAGACAGGGGUAAGCGGAACUGAUGGUGGAGCGGUGAAAUGCGUUGAUAUCAUCAGGAACACCGGUGGCGAAAGCGGCUUACUGGGUCUCUUCUGACGCUGAGGUACGAAAGCUAGGGGAGCGAACGGGAUUAGAUACCCCGGUAGUCCUAGCUGUAAACGAUGAGCACUUGUCUGGGGAUCCUCCCAUAGGUUCUCGGACGAAGCGAAAGUGUUAAGUGCUCCGCCUGGGGAGUACGGCCGCAAGGUUG